RNAcentral lists this ribosomal RNA (443 nucleotides) under uncultured bacterium. Its description in RNAcentral is "partial 16S ribosomal RNA". It matches the Rfam family "Bacterial small subunit ribosomal RNA", at positions 338 to 795 of the family's 1533-position model. The record is from RNAcentral.
CCUACGGGUGGCAGCAGUGGGGAAUAUUGGGCAAUGGAGGAAACUCUGACCCAGCAACGCCGCGUGAAUGAUGAAGGUCUUCGGAUUGUAAAGUUCUUUUCUAAGGGAAGAAGAAAGUGACGGUACCUUAGGAAUAAGCCUCGGCUAACUACGUGCCAGCAGCCGCGGUAAUACGAAGGGGGCAAGUGUUAUCCGGAUUUACUGGGUGUAAAGGGAGCGUAGACGGGGCGCCAAGUCUGGAGUGAAAUGCCGCAGCUUAAAUGCGGAACUGCUUUGGAAACUGGCGAACUAGAGUGCGGGAGAGGUAGGCGGAAUGCGUGGUGUAGCGGUGAAAUGCGUAGAUAUUAGGAAGAACACCGGUGGCGAAGGCGGCUUACUGGACCGUAACUGACGUUGAGGCUCGAAAGCGUGGGGAGCGAACAGGAUUAGAUACCCUUGUAGUC